RNAcentral lists this ribosomal RNA (500 nucleotides) under uncultured bacterium. RNAcentral describes it as "partial 16S ribosomal RNA". It matches the Rfam family "Bacterial small subunit ribosomal RNA", at positions 30 to 523 of the family's 1533-position model. The record is from RNAcentral.
AUUGAACGCUGGCGGAAUGCUUUACACAUGCAAGUCGAACGGCAGCACGGGGGCAACCCUGGUGGCGAGUGGCGAACGGGUGAGUAAUACAUCGGAACGUGCCCAGUCGUGGGGGAUAACGUAGCGAAAGUUACGCUAAUACCGCAUACGAUCUACGGAUGAAAGCGGGGGACCGUAAGGCCUCGCGCGAUUGGAGCGGCCGAUGUCAGAUUAGGUAGUUGGUGAGGUAAAGGCUCACCAAGCCGACGAUCUGUAGCUGGUCUGAGAGGACGAGCAGCCACACUGGGACUGAGACACGGCCCAGACUCCUACGGGAGGCAGCAGUGGGGAAUUUUGGACAAUGGGCGCAAGCCUGAUCCAGCCAUUCCGCGUGCAGGAAGAAGGCCUUCGGGUUGUAAACUGCUUUUGUACGGAACGAAAAGGCUCUGGUUAAUACCUGGGGCUCAUGACGGUACCGUAAGAAUAAGCACCGGCUAACUACGUGCCAGCCGCCGCAGUAA